This 386-nucleotide ribosomal RNA is filed under the name uncultured Katablepharidophyta. RNAcentral describes it as "partial small subunit ribosomal RNA". It matches the Rfam family "Eukaryotic small subunit ribosomal RNA", at positions 30 to 432 of the family's 1831-position model. Lineage: Eukaryota; Cryptophyceae; Kathablepharidacea. The record is from RNAcentral.
GCUUGUCUCAAAGAUUAAGCCAUGCAUGUCUAAGUGUAAAUACGUCUACACUGUGAAACUGCGAAUGGCUCAUUAAAUCAGUUAUCGUUUAUUUGAUGAUCUCUUGUUACAUGGAUAACCGUAGUAAUUCUAGAGCUAAUACAUGCACAAAAUCCCGACUUACGAAGGGAUGUAUUUAUUAGAUACAAACCAACAUCGUGGUGAUUCAUAAUAACUUUGCGAAUCGUAUGCCUCACGGCGACGAUGAAUCAUUCAAAUUUCUGCCCUAUCAACUUUCGAUGGUAAGGUAUUGGCCUACCAUGGUUACCACGGGUAACGGGGAAUUAGGGUUCGGUUCCGGAGAGGGGGCCUGAGAAAUGGCCACCACAUCCAAGGAAGGCAGCAGG